GGGCCCAUAGCUCAAUGGAUAGAGCGCUGGCCUCCGAAGCCAGGCGUCCGAGUUCGACUCUCGGUGGGCCCGCCA
Molecule: transfer RNA, 75 nt
Filed under: Candidatus Theseobacter exili
Lineage: Bacteria; Pseudomonadati; Candidatus Auribacterota; Candidatus Auribacteria; Candidatus Theseobacterales; Candidatus Theseobacteraceae
Description: tRNA-Arg
Rfam family: tRNA
About the family: Transfer RNA (tRNA) molecules are approximately 80 nucleotides in length.
Source: RNAcentral